AUCGGGGUGGGAUCGCUAGGCCUUGGGAGCCCCCAUUGUACCAAUUUUUCUCCAUUUUUGCUUUGCCCUAGUGAAACAUAUCGGCUGUAACCUGUUACCUGUAGAUUACAUGACGUGAAUGAUGUAUGUUUCUGGCGAUCGUUUUUUCAAGCUUGUUGUAUACUUAUAUUGCCCAUUGCUCGCUGUGGAGUGCCCUCCCACCAACUGUUCACGGACCGUUUGCACAGGGGGCGCGGGGGCGAUUGAUCGGUCUUUUUAUGAAAAAAUAAAAAACCAAAUGAUAUAUUUAUAAUCGAAAAAUAAUUUGUUAAUAAAAAUAUAUAUAUAUUCUUAAUGAUCUAAAAAUCCAAGUUGAAAAAUAAACUUUAGUAAAAAAUGCCUAAAAUCAAUUUUAAAAUUAAGGUUAAAAAUUUAAAUUUUGAUUUAUAAGUUUAGCAGAAAUGAAAAUACACUGGUGAUAGCGUAUGCUGGUGCAUUUGUAACAGGUUUCCUUCGGAUUAGGUCUGGCCGUGUUACUUCCUUCGUCUUUUCUUAUAUUCUUAUUUGUUUUUUAUGCACAUAUUUUCUUUACGGUUAAACUAUGUGUAUUUUGUGAAAUGAUUUGUUUAAUUUUUAAUUUGUAGUAGUUAUUUGUAUUGCUUAUGCAAUUAAAUGGUUAUUAUAAAAAAAUUCAAAAAACCAUUUAUUUUUUAUCAUCCUUCAGGGAUAAAGAACACAGCGAAGGAUGCAUCGGCAGCAUCGCUUUGGUCGUCCGCGCAAAGGGGUUGUACCGGCCGCCCGUUUCGGGGAUAUCCAAGGAGCCACUGACAUGCGGGGGUCAUCAGUCCCAGCUGGCCGGCGGUGGGGCGGGAUUGCGGGAAGGAGGUGCGAAAAGUUUUCGUGUCCGCUCUCCCCGGCUUGGUUUCCCGAGCUCGCAGAGUUGCCACGGCCAGCUAUAAACGAUCCCCUGCGGUGUGUUCCGUGUACCCACCUCCACUCACGGAGUCGCGGGGAUAGCCGAUAGCAGGCGGGAGGAAGGAAGGGGGAGAUCACCGGAAGGAAAGGAAGGCGUCGUCCGAUGCGAACCCAACCCCCGAGAGGUGCGUUCUCUUUCAUAGCCCAGCUGAUAAUUUUGUUAUUAGCGGUGACACGCCUGUUCAAUGUUUGUGUAUGCUAACCAUCGGUCAAAAUUCUUACGUAUUGGAUUGCAGCUCGAGAGAUCGUCCGAGGGAGAGAAAGCGACCAUCGGGGUGGGAUCGCUAGGCCUUGGGAGCCCCCAUUGUACCAAUUUUUCUCCAUUUUUGCUUUGCCCUAGUGAAACAUAUCGGCUGUAACCUGUUACCUGUAGAUUACAUGACGUGAAUGAUGUAUGUUUCUGGCGAUCGUUUUUUCAAGCUUGUUGUAUACUUAUAUUGCCCAUUGCUCGCUGUGGAGUGCCCUCCCACCAACUGUUCACGGACCGUUUGCACAGGGGGCGCGGGGGCGAUUGAUCGGUCUUUUUAUGAAAAAAUAAAAAACCAAAUGAUAUAUUUAUAAUCG
This 1518-nucleotide long non-coding RNA is filed under the name Oryza brachyantha (malo sina). RNAcentral's name for it is "long non-coding RNA (OBRA_LNC000755)". Lineage: Eukaryota; Viridiplantae; Streptophyta; Magnoliopsida; Poales; Poaceae. The record is from RNAcentral.